CCCCUCUCAGGAUUGCACCUGGAGAGUUUCCAGUACCCUAAUAGCCUCGGCUAUGGAAGGGAGAGUCAAGCAGAGGCAUACCCAUUCCAUUCCUAGCUUGGGUAGUGGCUAGAGAGUGGAAGGAAAUCUGCUACAAAU
Small nucleolar RNA from Tachyglossus aculeatus (Australian echidna), 138 nucleotides. Lineage: Eukaryota; Metazoa; Chordata; Mammalia; Monotremata; Tachyglossidae. The record is from RefSeq and is a predicted model, not a curated record.